AAUAGCUCUUAAGAUAAAGAACUAGUAGCAUCUCAUCUUUUUUUUAUUUUGGAAAUGCGCUAAAAAAGAACCGUUUUCUGCUAGAGCGAAAAAAGGUACCAGACAGCCGAUUCGUCUUGGGGGUUGGUUAACAAUCCAAAAAACUACAAGUUUCCGGGAAAACGUUCGUCGAUCGGAGCAGGUGGUCAAGGCGUGGUUGUGGAGAUCGAUGAUGCGAAGGGCAACGUUUUCGUUGUUUCAGUGUCUCCGAUCGAAUUGCAGACACCCUGCUACAAGUACCUUACACAGGCACCUCGUUGUAGUCCUUGUUGGACGGCUGUAAGUCGACAAGGGAAACCCAUUGCUUUAAUGAAAUGUAUUACUAUUUAAUAAACUACUGGUUCAAAUAUUUUGUAAUUUACUAUUUGUUAAAUAGGGGUUCUGAAACCGAAGAGGCCUCUCCGGUUUGAUAAAAUAAUGAGAAAUACAACUGGCAAUUAACUAAUUCGUAUAUCAUUAGAUUCUCAGAUAGAUUUUUCGAUUGGUGUUAUUAUAAACCCUCUAAGUCAACAUGUUAAUUGCAUAUGUAGGGUUUUGGAAUAUGCAAUCCGGGAACACAUAUAUCAAAAUUCGAGUGGUUAAGGGUUAAUUUACAGUUUCUGGCGCCCUGUCUGCAUCUAAAUCUUUUUGCCGACCCAACCCACGAUGAAGUCGCAGCGAAUGCUUGCACAAAAUGGAGCUUUUGUAUUUGCCGCCGAUUUUCCGGAGACUAACCACUGGACCAAAAUCGUUAUCUUAUGGCGCCCGAGCAUCUCGACCAUUUAGAAGACAACAAUAAUUCUAAUAUUAUAACUGUAUCUUAUGUUGUUUUAUAUCUAGCUAAUACAUGCAAUAAAUAAACAUAAACACAUAUAUAGGCGCGCCUCAGAUUGUGUGUGCCACUGUAAGUAAAAACAAAACUACCAAAUCUAAAUAAAUACCAUGACGAAAAACAAAGUAAAAGUUUUUAUUAUUUAACAUUAUAAAUUACUGUAAAACAAUUUGUACUGCAAAUCUAACAAUUUAAAAAUGAUUUUAUAAAAGCUUUAACAUUACGCGUAACAGACAAUAUAAAAAUUUAAUAUCAACACAUUUAGACUAGCUCACAUCAAGACUCGAAAGAAUACAGCCAAACCCAA
Photinus pyralis (common eastern firefly) is the source of this 1157-nucleotide long non-coding RNA. RefSeq lists it as uncharacterized. Lineage: Eukaryota; Metazoa; Arthropoda; Insecta; Coleoptera; Lampyridae. The record is from RefSeq and is a predicted model, not a curated record. The transcript has 3 exons.